GCCCCUGUAGCUCAGAGGAUAGAGCAGCGGUUUCCUAAACCGCGUGUCGCGUGUUCGAGUCACGCCAGGGGUACCA
Molecule: transfer RNA, 76 nt
Filed under: Chloroflexota bacterium
Lineage: Bacteria; Bacillati; Chloroflexota
Also listed under: 4 other names
Description: Chloroflexi bacterium (aquatic metagenome) tRNA-Arg
Rfam family: tRNA
About the family: Transfer RNA (tRNA) molecules are approximately 80 nucleotides in length.
Source: RNAcentral